This 855-nucleotide long non-coding RNA is filed under the name Homo sapiens (human). RNAcentral describes it as "long non-coding RNA NONHSAT217333.1". The record is from RNAcentral. Lineage: Eukaryota; Metazoa; Chordata; Mammalia; Primates; Hominidae.
CAAACUCACAGACCUUAAUUCCUGACUGUCAGAAGAAAUGGAUUCAGUCAAUAAUGGAUAUGCUCCAAAGGCAAGGUCUUAGACCUAUUCCUGAAGCAGAAAUUGGAUUGGCGGUGAUUUUCAUGACUACAAAGAAUUACUGUGAUCCUCAGGGCCAUCCCAGUACAGUGUUGCCCAGGCUGGGCUCAAACUCCUGGGCUCAAGUGAUCCUCCUGCCUCAGCCUUCCAAAGACCAAGCCUUUCACAAGGCGUGUCAGUUGAUGAAAAACUAAUGCCAAGCGCCCCAGUGAACACUACAACAUACGUAGCUGACACAGAAUCAGAGCAAGCAGAUACAUGGGAUUUGAGUGAAAGGCCAAAAGAAAUCAAAGUCUCCAAAAUGGAACAAAAAUUCAGAAUGCUUUCACAAGAUGCACCCACUGUAAAGGAGUCCUGCAAAACAAGCUCUAAUAAUAAUAGUAUGGUAUCAAAUACUUUGGCUAAGAUGAGAAUCCCAAACUAUCAGCUUUCACCAACUAAAUUGCCAAGUAUAAAUAAAAGUAAAGAUAGGGCUUCUCAGCAGCAGCAGACCAACUCCAUCAGAAACUACUUUCAGCCGUCUACCAAAAAAAGGGAAAGGGAUGAAGAAAAUCAAGAAAUGUCUUCAUGCAAAUCAGCAAGAAUAGAAACGUCUUGUUCUCUUUUAGAACAAACACAACCUGCUACACCCUCAUUGUGGAAAAAUAAGGAGCAGCAUCUAUCUGAGAAUGAGCCUGUGGACACAAACUCAGACAAUAACUUAUUUACAGAUACAGAUUUAAAAUCUAUUGUGAAAAAUUCUGCCAGUAAAUCUCAUGCUGCAGAAAAGCUAAGAUC